RNAcentral lists this unclassified non-coding RNA (341 nucleotides) under Basidiomycota sp. RNAcentral's name for it is "partial contains small subunit ribosomal RNA, internal transcribed spacer 1, and 5.8S ribosomal RNA". The stretch from base 1 to 47 matches the Rfam family "Eukaryotic small subunit ribosomal RNA", at positions 1785 to 1831 of the family's 1831-position model. Lineage: Eukaryota; Fungi; Basidiomycota. The record is from RNAcentral.
AAAGUCGUAACAAGGUAUCCGUAGGUGAACCUGCGGAUGGAUCAUUAUCGUAUCCAAUACCUCAUCUACCAAUUUGUGAACUGUUGCCUUCUGUGUUUAAUUGCCAACUAUCUUCGGAUGGUCGCUCUCUUGGAAUUGAAAGGGUGAGAUCUCGCAAGAGAUCGGCAGUUGCAUAGAAGUGUAUUUUCUUCAAUUCUAAUCAUCAUUAACCAAUCGAACCAUUUCUAAAAAUGUUAUUCUUUGUAUUGAUCUGAAUUGUUUCUUACUCUUGCUUCGGUUAGAGAAGAAAUCGAUUUACGAAAUAAAAAGAACAACUCUUAGCAACGGAUAUCUUGGUUCUC